This 439-nucleotide long non-coding RNA is filed under the name Amphimedon queenslandica. RNAcentral's name for it is "uncharacterized LOC109593231, transcript variant X2". The record is from RNAcentral. Lineage: Eukaryota; Metazoa; Porifera; Demospongiae; Haplosclerida; Niphatidae.
AUUAUGAAAAAGAGGGAGUAGAAGAUUUGGUUACCUUCACUGCAGCUAAGAAACUAAAUGCUCUCAUUAAGUACAUCACAAAAAAGCAUUCUCAUGCUAAGACAGGACAACACAUUUAUUUUCGUUUCAAAGAUAAUGAUGGAUGCAUUGAGCUAAAAUUUGAUACUCCACAAAAGAAGAAUAUUACUGAUUGGACUAUAGACCCUCAUGUUGAACCAUGUAGGUUGUAUCGUUGUGAUGUUGAAAAUUUUGGUAGCAAAGAUUAUCCUCUUCCUCCAUCUUGUCUGAUAUCAGUGUAUGAAUCACCUGAUGCUGUCCCUACACUACAUUACUCCAUACCACUGGAAGGUGUGGCUGAUCCUGUUUCAUUAUACAUCCUUAGAUCACUACAGAGAAAUCUUCCUCCUCCUCCUUCAACAGAUCCUACUACCUCCUCCUC